Puntigrus tetrazona (Sumatra barb) is the source of this 596-nucleotide long non-coding RNA. RefSeq lists it as uncharacterized. The record is from RefSeq and is a predicted model, not a curated record. Lineage: Eukaryota; Metazoa; Chordata; Actinopteri; Cypriniformes; Cyprinidae. The transcript has 2 exons.
CUCUCUCUCUCUCUCUCUCUCUUCUCUUUAAUAGAUCAUCAUGUUCCUUCAACCCGAGUUUCUCGCGUUUUGAUACAAAGAACACGGAAUAAAAUAGUUGGACGUUGGACAAGGAUAGGAAGUGUUGAGAGCUGUUCCUAGUGCUCGCUGCGUGUAACAGCCACUCCAUGUGGAAAUGUAUUGCAGUGCCAGUGGAGGAGCUGUUACCUGCAGAGAGUCACACGUGACGGAAGCCGGAAGUGCUGCGCCCAUGGGUGCCUCUCCCGCACGCGGAACUGUGCGCUGUGUAUAAUGCAUCUGUAUACAUUUAAAAUGAGGCCUCAUCAUCACUAACUAUACAAAACAUGCUUUUAAUGAAACAUUUGUGCAAUUAGAAAUAGUUCACGUUUUAUUUAACUAACAAUAAACAAAUGAAAUGUUUAAUGUGAGUGCUGUCGCAGCAAAUCUUUCGUUUAAUUAAGGUAAAGCAACGACUCCAUUGCAUCUGUGUCUGUUGUCAAAUGUCUGUUUAUCAUGCACUAAUACUGCUGUCCACUAGGGUACACUCUUGACUAAUGUUCUGUGUCAAUUCAUAUUAAAAUACAAUCUGCCCUACA